This 301-nucleotide ribosomal RNA is filed under the name uncultured bacterium. RNAcentral describes it as "partial 16S ribosomal RNA". It matches the Rfam family "Bacterial small subunit ribosomal RNA", at positions 509 to 807 of the family's 1533-position model. The record is from RNAcentral.
CAGUAGCCACGGUAAUACGAGGGGGGCAAGCGUUGUUCGGAAUUAUUGGGCGUAAAGGGCUCGCAGGCGGUUUCUUAAGUCUGAUGUGAAAGCCCCCGGCUCAACCGGGGAGGGUCAUUGGAAACUGGGAAACUUGAGUGCAGAAGAGGAGAGUGGAAUUCCACGUGUAGCGGUGAAAUGCGUAGAGAUGUGGAGGAACACCAGUGGCGAAGGCGACUCUCUGGUCUGUAACUGACGCUGAGGAGCGAAAGCGUGGGGAGCGAACAGGAUUAGAUACCCCCGUAGUCCCUGUCUCUUAUAC